ACUAUGCUUGGCCCUAAACCUCAGUAGUUAGAUAACAAAACUACUCGCCAGAAUACUACAAGCUAUAGCUUAAAACUCAAAGGACUUGACGGUGCUUUACACCCCCUAGAGGAGCCUGUUCCGUAAUCGAUAAACCCCGAUCCACCCCACCCUCUCUUGCUCAGCCUAUAUACCGCCAUCUUCAGCAAACCCUAAUGAAGGUCACAAAGUGAGCGCAAACGCCGUCACCGCGAGUACGUUAGGUCAAGGUGUAGCCUAUGAGAUGGUAAAAGAUGGGCUACAUUUUCUACCUCAGAAAAUUCCACGAAAACCCUUAUGAAACUUAAGGGUCCAAGGAGGAUUUAGCAGUAAAUUAAGAAUAGAGUGCUUAAUUGAACCAGGCCAUAAAGCGCGCACACACCGCCCGUCACUCCUCUCAAAUAUAUUUAAGGAACAUCUUAACUAAACGCCCUAAUAUUUAUAUAGAGAGGAUAAGUCGUAACAUGGUAAGCGUACUGGAAGGUGCGCUUGGAUAAAU
RNAcentral lists this ribosomal RNA (517 nucleotides) under Macaca fuscata (Japanese macaque). RNAcentral's name for it is "partial 12S ribosomal RNA". It matches the Rfam family "Bacterial small subunit ribosomal RNA", at positions 789 to 1533 of the family's 1533-position model. The record is from RNAcentral. Lineage: Eukaryota; Metazoa; Chordata; Mammalia; Primates; Cercopithecidae.